GAGGGUAUAGCUCAGUGGUAGAGUGUAUGCUUAGCACUUAGAGUGCACUCCUGGGUUCAAUCCCCAGUAUCUCCA
Molecule: transfer RNA, 75 nt
Filed under: Camelus bactrianus (Bactrian camel)
Lineage: Eukaryota; Metazoa; Chordata; Mammalia; Artiodactyla; Camelidae
Also listed under: 2 other names
Rfam family: tRNA
About the family: Transfer RNA (tRNA) molecules are approximately 80 nucleotides in length. Their secondary structure includes four short double-helical elements and three loops (D, anti-codon, and T loops). Further hydrogen bonds mediate the characteristic L-shaped molecular structure. tRNAs have two regions of fundamental functional importance: the anti-codon, which is responsible for specific mRNA codon recognition, and the 3' end, to which the tRNAs corresponding amino acid is attached (by aminoacyl-tRNA synthetases). tRNAs cope with the degeneracy of the genetic code in two manners: having more than one tRNA (with a specific anti-codon) for a particular amino acid; and 'wobble' base-pairing, i.e. permitting non-standard base-pairing at the 3rd anti-codon position.
Source: Rfam by way of RNAcentral